This 497-nucleotide ribosomal RNA is filed under the name uncultured bacterium. RNAcentral's name for it is "partial 16S ribosomal RNA". It matches the Rfam family "Bacterial small subunit ribosomal RNA", at positions 28 to 507 of the family's 1533-position model. The record is from RNAcentral.
GAUGAACGCUGGCGGCGUGCCUAAUACAUGCAAGUCGAGCGAACAGAUGAGGAGCUUGCUCCUCUGACGUUAGCGGCAGACGGGUGAGUAACACGUGGAUAACCUACCUAUAAGACUGGGAUAACUUCGGGAAACCGGAGCUAAUACCGGAUAAUAUAUUGAACCGCAUGGUUCAAUAGUGAAAGACGGUUUUGCUGUCACUUAUAGAUGGAUCCGCGCCGCAUUAGCUAGUUGGUAAGGUAACGGCUUACCAAGGCAACGAUGCGUAGCCGACCUGAGAGGGUGAUCGGCCACACUGGAACUGAGACACGGUCCAGACUCCUACGGGAGGCAGCAGUAGGGAAUCUUCCGCAAUGGGCGAAAGCCUGACGGAGCAAUGCCGCGUGAGUGAUGAAGGUCUUCGGAUCGUAAAACUCUGUUAUUAGGGAAGAACAAAUGUGUAAGUAACUAUGCACGUCUUGACGGUACCUAAUCAGAAAGCCACGGCUAACUACGUG